This 947-nucleotide long non-coding RNA is filed under the name Olea europaea subsp. europaea. The record is from RNAcentral. Lineage: Eukaryota; Viridiplantae; Streptophyta; Magnoliopsida; Lamiales; Oleaceae.
UAUGACUAAUCAUAGCCGGUCCCAAGUCCGGAUAAAGGAGGAGGGUUGUGUUUAGAUUUAAAGAAUAAACUAAGUUUAGUUUUGGUCCGUACUUCAAUCUUUUGAAUACAAAACAUUUUGUAUUAUUUAUUACUAAAAGAACUCAAUAUAUAAUGGAUAAACAACUCGGCCUGCACAUAGGCCGUGUAACCUUGUUGACUGAUAAGCCUUCAAUUCUAGAAGAGCCCAGAAGACUUGAGAAGCAGGGACAGCAACAGAAUUCUGUUACAAGGGUAAGUGGGGAGGGGAAUUAGUUAGGAAAUUUCUAUAAAUAAAGGUAGAAGGGAGGGUAGAAGAUAGGCAAAUGUUGAGUGAAAGAAAGGAGUCUUGUUUGUCAUUUACUUACCCGUAAUUCUCUGCAAUUCAAUCAAAUAUCUGUUAUUAAUUUCUGUUCUUCUUUUCUUCCUCUUCUUUUCUUCCACUUAGAACCCUAACAUUGACCUAGCCGAGCUCGUUUGACACCACUACUUCUUGACAUAAUGUGCCCAGCCAUGCUUCGAAUUUCUGUGACUGAUCCAAAUUGAUGGGUUUCUUUUCAGAUCUUCUUGAGAUGAUCAGAUUGGCAUGGAUCCAGUGGCUAGAAAAUAGUUCCUAAGGUGAAAUGAAGCAGUAAAUGAGCUGGUUUGAAAAUAUGGACUGAAAACAAGUUCAUCCGAUAUUUAUCCAGACUUGUCAGAGAUAUCCACGAUAAUUUAUUUUGACUUAAGAUUCAUGAUAUUCUAGUCCUAAAUGCAUGAGCAACAGUUCUAAGACAGUGAAAAUGCAGAUUGUGGAAUGAAAUGAAAGCAUGUUCAUCCAAGACAUGCCUCUGAACUUAUUCAGAAGCUGAACCGUAUGUUGUGAACUUUGUUAGGAAUAGAAAUCAUUCGGGUUCAAAAUUCUAAAGUUUCCAUCUGCUUUAGUCUUUC